This 460-nucleotide ribosomal RNA is filed under the name uncultured bacterium. RNAcentral describes it as "partial 16S ribosomal RNA". It matches the Rfam family "Bacterial small subunit ribosomal RNA", at positions 338 to 795 of the family's 1533-position model. The record is from RNAcentral.
CCUACGGGAGACAGCAGUGAGGAAUAUUGGUCAAUGGACGAGAGUCUGAACCAGCCAAGUAGCGUGAAGGAUGACUGCCCUAUGGGUUGUAAACUUCUUUUAUAAAGGAAUAAAACGAGGCACGUGUGCCUUUUUGCAUGUACUUUAUGAAUAAGGAUCGGCUAACUCCGUGCCAGCAGCCGCGGUAAUACGGAGGAUCCGAGCGUUAUCCGGAUUUAUUGGGUUUAAAGGGAGCGUAGAUGGGUUGUUAAGUCAGUUGUGAAAGUUUGCGGCUCAACCGUAAAAUUGCAAUUGAUACUGGCAGUCUUGAGUACAGUUGAGGUAGGCGGAAUUCGUGGUGUAGCGGUGAAAUGCUUAGAUAUCACGAAGAACCCCGAUUGCGAAGGCAGCUUACUAAACUGUGACUGACAUUGAUGCUCGAAAGCGUGGGUAGCAAACAGGAUUAGAUACCCUGGUAGUC